UACGUAGGGGGCUAGCGUUGUCCGGAAUUAUUGGGCGUAAAGGGCUCGUAGGCGGUCUGUUGCGUCGGGAGUGAAAACUCAGGGCUUAACCCUGAGCCUGCUUCCGAUACGGGCAGACUAGAGGUAUGCAGGGGAGAACGGAAUUCCUGGUGUAGCGGUGAAAUGCGCAGAUAUCAGGAGGAACACCAAUAGCGAAGGCAGCGCGCGGGGACGGUACUGAUGCUAAGGCGCGAAAGCGUGGGGAGCGAACAGG
Molecule: ribosomal RNA, 253 nt
Filed under: uncultured bacterium
Lineage: Bacteria
Description: partial 16S ribosomal RNA
Rfam family: Bacterial small subunit ribosomal RNA
Source: RNAcentral